Molecule: long non-coding RNA, 2935 nt
Filed under: Fragaria vesca (wild strawberry)
Lineage: Eukaryota; Viridiplantae; Streptophyta; Magnoliopsida; Rosales; Rosaceae
Description: long non-coding RNA (FVES_LNC002238)
Source: RNAcentral
CCACAGUCAAAACAAAUUAUUUUUAAUCUCCAACCAUUAAACCCAUACCCAUAUAUAGGUUUCCUUCUACCCAAUCGACCUAAAAUGAGUCAACCUUCAAGGAGGAAACUCAUAUCUCUUAGCACAGGACGCAUGUCUUGCAAGUGCACAUGAAGGCCGUAGGAGGAAACAUUGAUUUAACACGCCAACCUCUGGGUUUCAUUCAUACGCGCGGAAAACGACAAAAUAAUGGGCUGGAAAAUGGGGAUGCGUUGUACAUGUGUUAGUUGCGUCAGAUAAGUUGGUCCAGAUCAGAAUAACGGAUGGUUGAGAUUUGGUUUUGUUUGAAAAAAAAGGUCUAGAUUUAAUUCAUUUCCAAAUAGAAGAAAUUUAUAUAUAAUUAGUGGGGCUUCUCUAAAAGGUUAGAUAGUGUUUGGAUCACCAUUUUGGGUUUACGUAUAUGAAUGGUGGAGACUGUGAUUUGCAGCAUAUAUAUACUAGGUGUUAGUGAUGCACAACAGAAAUAUAACUUUGGGGCUUUAUUUUUGAAGACCUUUCUCUCAAGGUUAGAGGUAUAAAUUAUACCGUAUACCGUAUACCGUAUAAUGGUUGCUGGGUUCUAUGUUCUUUGAUUAAAGUUUAAGGUCUGGGAAUAUGCUUUUCGAGUUAUCGUCAUAUGUAUGCUGAACUUGUAAAUUGUGAUGUUAUGGAAGCAACUUUCAGUAAAUGUGCUAACGUCCGCAUACAUUGAUCUUAAGUUAGGGUCAAAACGUGGGACACCGUUUUAAAGUUUUAAAAACGUGAGAUACGAAAUUUUGUUUCUCUAAAAGGUCAGACACUGUUUAGAUUUUUUUUUUUUUUUAAGUAGAUCAACUUCUUUAUUUUUAUUUUUUAGAAGAAAGAGAUCAACUAGUUUUUCUUAAAUAUAUAAAUUAAUACUUGAAAAUUCUGAGUGGUCGUUAGAUUAGCAGGUUGAGUGUUACCGUUGAAGUGAUGAUCUUUGUUUAGAUAGUUACAUACUAAUUACAAGAUUAUUAUAACUCGUCCUCGACCCAAACUUGAAAAGCAAAAAAUAAAAGAACAUAUUUUAUAGAUUUAUGCUAAGCGUUGCUUGAUUACAUUAUGAAUAUGGCUAUAUGGCUAAGAUAACCGCUUCACAUUUCAAACGGCCAUGUGGAAAUGGUUGAUUUGUGGAAGAUUGUAGCAAGGUAUAAGAGAGAAUAAAAAAUGGCGCAUGUAAGCAACAUUAUGUAACAGUCAUGGCGGUAAUACCUUCAAGUAUAGACUUUUGGUGAAGGCACCUUCACAAAUCUAGCUAAGCACCUUCCCUGAUCAUCUCCUCUAUCUCCAUCCCAUUCAACACUCACAAAAAUCAAGAAAAAAAAAAAAAAAAAGAAGACAAAGAAGAUAAGAAGUAUAAAAAUCUGUAAGGGAAGAAGAAUAUGGAUGAAUUUAGAAGGCGAUAUGAUAGAAAAUUUGGAGCCUUACGCAUAAAAGACAACGAGAAGAAAAACUCUUACGUUUCCAUUUCAAAUAAGCAAAAUCAUACAAGUGAGUUCAUUUCCAUAUGAACGAAUAAGUUGUUCCAUAAAACUGUAACAUGAUGCUUAAAUCUAACUGUUUAGUUUAUGACAUUAUUUUUUAAAUACAUGAACUGAGUUGAAAACUAUUAGUAUACAUGGGUCUAGCAACGGACUAAUUUGAUAUUUUGUGUCAUAUAUAUACUUACGUUUAAAGACGUGAUUGAUUUUAGAUCUACAAUAUGAUACGUGUCGAGAGUUCUCGUCUUUUAUAAUGUUGUCAUAUUCACUCUAUGGAUUACAUUCUAUAUAACAACGCCGACUCUAGUACUUGCUCCAAACGUUUGUUACACAUCAAGAGCCAUUAAAGCUAAAACAAAUGUCUGAUUAAAUAGUCAUCAACUCAUAAGAUCAAAAUGAAGAAAUGUUUAUCCAUCCUUAUUUUAAAAUUGGGCGAGAGUUUGGAACUUUGAUUGUCAAUUGUCAUUACAGGAGGAAUAUCACCAUGUCCCAUCUAAUGAGUCACGACCUAUGUGGCUAUGUAGCCACUCAACCACUUGACCAUACAUAGAGAAUCUUGCCUGCCCGUGGUUCUUUAUUGGCCACCACAAAUAAACCCUCUCAAUAUUUUCCGGUGGCUGAUGUGAGCUCCCGGCCCAACCCACCUGGGCUGGACCUAUUCAUUUCAUGCCUUGUCACUGCACGUGUCAGCUUGGCAGGUGGCCUUUACCUUACUCGUGUCUGCCUCUGCGUAAACACGCUUCCCACUCGAUAAGAUAGGCCGGGUAUAUAUUAUCCGGGGAGUUAACCAAUAACGGCAGCACCACCUGUCCUCUUGGCGGCAUUUGGCAACAGUCCCUAUUUCAUUUUUUUUUUGUUGGACUCGUCUUCCUUCUCCAAAUGGUCUUAUAAAUCCUAAUUUUUGUUCUUGAGCUCGUUGGAUAGGAAAUAAAUUAUUAUAAGACAGACUAGAAAAAAGUUAUUUGUGGUUAUAAUUGAAAAUAAUGAGACCAAAUAGGAUGAUUUUCUACAAUGCAAUUGUUUCACAUAUAUGACAUUGGGUGGUGUACAUCAAUCUCAAACCGAAUGGCCAUCCUUUAUCAUACUCAGAAAAAUCAAUUAUUUGACAUUCUAUCAACAGAAGGAACUCGAUUAUUGACGAAAUAAUUGAGUUCUGUUAUACUUAUUUUGUGUGAAGAAGUACAAUUCAAGAAAAUGAAGAUUGCUUCUUCAUUCCAACUAUGUGUGAUGUACAUGGAAUGUAGUUUUGCCGAUAAACAAUAUACGUGGAAUGUAGUUACGAUAAGGUGUUCAUGAAUUAGACGGUAUUGUCAUAAAUCCGUUAUUUUGAGUAUGCUGAAUGAAAAGCGAUGAAUUGUUUUUUUCAUUGUUUGUUCAAAAGUAAAUAUGACAUUUAGAUCUUACGCAAUUUUAUU